Oncorhynchus keta (chum salmon) is the source of this 785-nucleotide long non-coding RNA. RefSeq lists it as uncharacterized. NCBI's taxonomy places the organism in Eukaryota, Metazoa, Chordata, Actinopteri, Salmoniformes, Salmonidae. The record is from RefSeq and is a predicted model, not a curated record. The transcript has 4 exons.
CUCUUUACAGGACCAUCAUUCCUCACAAGGCCAGCCACACACACACACACACACACACACACACACACACACACACACACACACACACACACACACACACACACACACACACACACACACACACACACACACACACACACACACACACACACACACACACUGGUGAACAGGCAGGAAGUGAGGAAGUGUGUUAAGCUGUUUGUCUCGCUGUCUGUCUGUGGCUUUGCACCGUGGUUAGGUGUUAGAGUGGGAGACAUCUACAACUUGUAGUAGAGGUGUCUUGUGGUUUUUAACAUGGUCUCGGGGGAUGAUUGAAUGACCUUUUCAGAUCCAGUAAUGUAUGAUGUAUGAUGUGGUGGGCUAAACCACAGACUCUCAACUUUACAGAGUGGAGGCCAGUGAUAUUACACGAUUUCUCUUCCUGUAGAUAAGACUGUUUGGCUGCCUGAAAUCCCCUCCUAUGCCAGUGAAAGGCAUUUACUGAGUUGUCGUUGCCGAUCACUUCCAGUCAGAUACAGUAGGUCUCAUACUCCCAGUCAGAUACAGUAGGUUUUAUGCUCCCAGUCAGAUACAGUAGGUCUAAUACUCCCAGUCAGAUACAGUAGGUUUCAUACUCCCAGUCAGAUACAGUAGGUCUUAUACUCCCAGUCAGAUACAGUAGGUCUCAUACUCCCAGUCAGAUACAGUAGGUCUCAUACUCCCAGUCAGAUACAGUAGGUCUAAUACUCCCAGUCAGAUACAGUAGGUUUUAUGCUCCCAGUCAGAUACAGUAGGUCUUAUACUCA